UAAAAAGGAUCAGUCAAAUUUUUUUAAGUUUGACCAACUUUAGAAAAAAGCAUCAAUAUCUUUGACAUAAAAUUAAUAUAUUGUAAAAUAUAUUCUAUGAUAAAUUUAAUGUUGAAGACGAUCAACGGGCCGGCCCGGCAUGGCCCGUUGGCCGAUUUUUGGGCCGGCCCGGGCCGAAAAGCACGCGGCCCAAUAGUCCUUCGAGCCGGCCCAUAGUUCGCUAUAUGAAAAAUACCAAAUUUAAUACAUAACUUAACAAAGCAUAAGUAAAUCACAUUCAGUUCAUAGACAUUAAUAUUUCACAAUUCACACAACACAAUAUACUCACAGAUCAUAUUUCACUUGUCAAAAAUUACAAGUUUGACAAGUCACAUAACCUGAUACUUCAAAUUUCAUAUAUUUCCUGAUAUCGGGCCGACACCGUGCCUGCUGUUAAAAGCGGGCCGGGUCGUGCUGCCCGGCGGACCAAGGGGUCGGCCCAAGCACGGCCCGCUACAUGCUUCGAGUCGGCCCGGGCCCGGGCCCGGUUAGGAUCGGGCCGUGCCGUGCUCGGGACGGGCCAAAUCACCGUGCUUUGGACCAUGUCUUCGGCCCGCGGGCUGCAUGCUCAACUUUGAAUUUGGUACUAUAAAUCUUAGCGGUUUUAACAAUAGGAAUUGAAACUUUUAGAGACAAAGGGAGUAUUUGUAUAGUCACAAAACCCAUAAGACAUUCGGACAUCAGCAUUUGUAAUAAUCUCAUUUGUACUAUUUAACUAUAUAUGGGCAUGUGUCCGACGUUGAACUUUACUAGAUGAUACCUCGCGCUUUGUUGCGGAAAUUUUGGAACGUUGAACAAUUGUUAAAUACUAAGAUGGACAUAUUAAAUUUGAAAAUAAAGAAUGAAUGGGAUAAAAACAAAAUGAGGGGAAAUGAUGAACUGCCUGUGUCCACAGUCCACGACAGGCUGCCUUGCUGGUCUCUCAGUUCUUCGUGAGGAGAGCACGAUAAAAAAAAAUUAAAAAGGAGAGGAGAUGUUAGGUGGCCCACCAACACGCGCACCUGGCUUCGGCCUUCUCAUGAUGGCUUCGAAAGCUCCAUGGAUAUCUUAACAAAAAAAAACACUUGAUUCUCCAAUCUCUGGCAAGGCUGUGAGGCGUCCGUUCUGCAUCCCGCCCACGGCCGGGCAGGGAGGCUCCACGCACCUCGUGGCUGCACUGGGCUCGUGCACAGGCAGGGCUUCGUUUGGCUUCGCUGAUAAGCCAUCAUAAAAAAAUAUUGUUGGUUAAUUUAUUAUAAGAAAAAAAUACUGCUGAAUAGUUAGCAGAUUCGGUUGAUAAGCUUAACCGAGGUCUAGCAGUGGGCUGGAGGCGGUUGGGGCCAGCCGGCCAAGGCGCAGCCACCACCAGCAGCUAGAGGACCGAGGAAGGUGGAAAGUUAAAGGAGCGGUGCUCGGCCGGUGGGUGCGCGUCGACACCUAUCUGUCAAUGUAUGCAGGGGCGGAUAUAAGCCUGGGGCAACUGGGGCCAUAACCCUAGGUGUGGCUCAAAAUAUCUCUUAUACCAUAUGUAAAUUUCUGGCUUAGUUUGAAGUAAUUCUAAACAUUGGAAUUAAAUCAUCAGGACCAAAUAGAGAGAGAGAGAGGAGAGAGCAAUCCGAGUUCUAACUUCGCGGGCAUUGCCCUGACCCCCACUCCGCGUCGCAAAUCCUCACUACAGCGCUCUGCCUGCCGCGCUGCAAAUCCCCACUACAGCCCUCUGCCUGUCGCUCGUCAACCCAC
This 1758-nucleotide long non-coding RNA is filed under the name Sorghum bicolor (sorghum). RNAcentral's name for it is "long non-coding RNA (SBIC_LNC008021)". The record is from RNAcentral. Lineage: Eukaryota; Viridiplantae; Streptophyta; Magnoliopsida; Poales; Poaceae.